GGAGAUAUAGCUCAGUUGGUUAGAGCGCUGUGUUCACAUCGCAGAGGUCGUGGGUUCGAGCCCCUCUAUCUCUACCA
This 77-nucleotide transfer RNA is filed under the name Candidatus Ornithoclostridium faecigallinarum. RNAcentral's name for it is "tRNA-Val". It matches the Rfam family "tRNA". From Rfam's summary of the family: Transfer RNA (tRNA) molecules are approximately 80 nucleotides in length. Lineage: Bacteria; Bacillati; Bacillota; Clostridia; Christensenellales; Christensenellaceae. The record is from RNAcentral.